CUCUUCAAUUCAACUUAGUUAUUCUUUGAUCUACUUCUCGAUUUUUCUAUAACUGUACUUAUUCGAUUCAACUAGCAUUUUAGUUGAGUUUAGUGUAAUAUCAAUCCGAUCGAUCUUAUAUAUGUUUAUACUUUAUACUGUUACUGUAUAUAUUGUCUUUGCUCGUUGUUUUAAUUUUGAUUUUUGCGAUUUUUGUAUUGGUUUUGGUGUUUUUACUCUACAAUCUGAAGUUGUUCUCUCUGCUUUGUAUUUCAAAUCUCGGUAAUCUCCAUAGCUUCUGUAAGUUUAGCUCAAUUUUGAACUUUCUCAUACAAUAUGGAAUCUCUGCUCUCUUCUCCAUACAUUAUGAAAUUUCUUAUCGUUAGGGUUAGAAAUUUUCCUUCGCAGAUUCACACAAAACUUUCCCUUUCGUUAUUCACCAGCAGUAGCCGGGCUCGGGCGUUAAAGUUUUGAGGAACUUAAACAAGGAAAUUUGACUCUAAGGUCACACAACGAUAGCUGACAAGAGUAUCACAUUGUUAAUAAAAGGAAGAGAAGAUUGAGAAUAUCACAUUGUUGAUGAGAGACUCGGUUUCCAAUUUGAUGUUUAGUUGUCUUGUAAAAAAGGAUACUACAUUUCUUACAAGUCGAUAACUAAGUUGGUGUAUCGGCUUUGUUAGUUCUUGUUUCAAGUAAAUGACAUUGUUUUGAGUU
Long non-coding RNA from Nicotiana tabacum (common tobacco), 693 nucleotides. RefSeq lists it as uncharacterized. The record is from RefSeq and is a predicted model, not a curated record. Lineage: Eukaryota; Viridiplantae; Streptophyta; Magnoliopsida; Solanales; Solanaceae.